CUACGUGCCAGCAGCCGCGGUAAUACGUAGGGUGCAAGCGUUAAUCGGAAUUACUGGGCGUAAAGCGAGCGCAGACGGUUACUUAAGCAGGAUGUGAAAUCCCCGGGCUCAACCUGGGAACUGCGUUCUGAACUGGGUGACUAGAGUGUGUCAGAGGGAGGUAGAAUUCCACGUGUAGCAGUGAAAUGCGUAGAGAUGUGGAGGAAUACCGAUGGCGAAGGCAGCCUCCUGGGAUAACACUGACGUUCAUGCUCGAAAGCGUGGGUAGCAAACAGGAUUAGAUACCCUGGUAGUCCACGCCCUAAACGAUGUCAAUUAGCUGUUGGGCAACUUGAUUGCUUAGUAGCGUAGCUAACGCGUGAAAUUGACCGCCUGGGGAGUACGGUCGCAAGAUUAAAACUCAAAGGAAUUGACGGGGGCCCGCACAAGCGGAGGAACAUGUGGUUUAAUUCGAUGAUACGCGAGGAACCUUACCCGGGCUUGAAC
Molecule: ribosomal RNA, 486 nt
Filed under: uncultured bacterium
Lineage: Bacteria
Description: bacterial SSU rRNA
Rfam family: Bacterial small subunit ribosomal RNA
Source: RNAcentral